GCGGGUGUAGCACAGUGGUAGUGCAUCAGGUUUCCAACCUGACCACGUGGGUUCGAUUCCCAUCACCCGCUCCA
This 74-nucleotide transfer RNA is filed under the name Candidatus Wildermuthbacteria bacterium GWA1_49_26. RNAcentral's name for it is "tRNA-Gly". It matches the Rfam family "tRNA". From Rfam's summary of the family: Transfer RNA (tRNA) molecules are approximately 80 nucleotides in length. The record is from RNAcentral. Lineage: Bacteria; Candidatus Wildermuthiibacteriota. RNAcentral also lists the same sequence under 8 other names.